RNAcentral lists this ribosomal RNA (3142 nucleotides) under Mimonectes loveni. Its description in RNAcentral is "partial 28S ribosomal RNA". It matches the Rfam family "Eukaryotic large subunit ribosomal RNA", at positions 71 to 1862 of the family's 3401-position model. The record is from RNAcentral. Lineage: Eukaryota; Metazoa; Arthropoda; Malacostraca; Amphipoda; Mimonectidae.
GCGAUUCCCUUAGUAGUGGCGAACGAAACGGGAAGAGCCCAGCGCAUAAUCUCCCGGGCCGCCCGGCCUGCGGCGAAAUGUUGCGUUAAGGGAAAGGUCGCUCGUAUGCCACGCACGCACGUGCUUAUGCCUAAGAGCGAAUUGAAUUGUUCGCGCUUGUUCGGCAUUCGCUCACGCGAGUUGUCGACGUACGGUUCCAUGGAGGGUGCAAGCCCCGUCUGGCGUACGUUGCGUUGCGUUGGUUCGGCCUCUAUUCCCUAAGAGUCGCGUUGCUUGAACAUGCAGCGCUAAGCAGGUGGUAAACUCCACCUAAGGCUAAAUAUAUCCACAGAACCGAUAGCUGACAAGUACCGCGAGGGAAAGUUGAAAAGUACUCUGAAGAGAGGGUGCAAAGACCGUGAAACCGCUCAGGGUAAAAGCCAAAUGUCGAGUGAUCCUAGAUGCUGGGGCAUUGUCUAGUGAUAGAUGAUUGUUAGUGUCAGCGUGCGCGUUAAAAGUUGUCAGGGUUAUGUAAGCGCGUCGUUUCAGUCUCGAGCUCCGCGCUCGAGUCUAUUCGAUCAUUUAACUCCGGCCUCUCUAACGCAUCGAGCGCAUCGAGUACACUAACCGUUAGGCCCGCUAACAGCCCACCGCAACUGUUGUCGAGGUCACUCGUGGUAGAUGGACGUCAGUUCGUGAUUUUCUCGCUCUAUCGGUCGUCGAGUUUACGCUUGCGAGAUGUUUUCCAGGAGUAAGGAGUUAGUCUCUCUGAAAAUGGACUUUCGUAAGCGAGCGUACAAACUGUUGACUACAAGAUCAGUAGACUAAGUGGGUUAGUCAUUAAGCGAGCUACGCGUUAUACUACCAAUGCGAUUAUGUAUGAUCCUCUAGCAGCGUUGUUCGCUGACACACACCCAGUGUGUGCACGGUGGUAUAUGCUAGGUGACAUUGGUCACGUCUCGAAACACGGGCCAAGGAGCGUAGCGUGCGCGCGAGUCAAGGGGUCUUACUAAACCCUACGGCGACAGUGAAAGCGAGUGGUUCGUUGUCAUACGUGUCAACGUAUCCCGGAUUGUGACUGUAGUCCUUUUACCAAAGUCUAUUCGUCGCAUGUCCGCUUUGUCAGGGCCGAUCCCGAUCGAAAGAUUGGGCGCAAGCCCCGGGCUCACUCGUAAGUCGCGAUUUCUCUCUCUCACGAGAGGGUUGUUGUGAUGGAGAGAGCACCGAUUAGCGUGCACGGUACAACCCGAAAGAUAGUGAACUAUGCCUGGCGAGGAUAAAGCCCCAGGAAACUGUGGUGGAAGUCCGUAGCCGUUGUGACGUGCAAAUCCAUGGUAUCAGCUGGGCAUAGGGGCGAAAGACCAAUCGAACUAUCUAGUAGCUGGUUCCGUCCGAAGUUUCUCUCAGGAUAGCUUGCGCGAUUACGGCACGUUUGUUCGAAUCUCUAAGCUGGCGACAACAGUCGUACUCGGGAUCGUUCCUACGUUGCUCGAGAGCUGAGGGCAGACUCCUCUUAGGAGUUUGUGGCCACGCCUCCAACGCUCGGAAUCUCUGACACCUUACUUUCUUAUUCAGUUACGUCUGGUAAAGAGAAUGAGUAGAGGUUGCGUGCCGCGCGCCCAAAUGCGCGGCAGCGGCGGGGCGUUCUACGCCUCGCACUAUUAUCAAACUUUAAAUGGGCGAGGAACUCGGCAUUUCUUAACUGAGUUAACUGUGAUGCCGGGGUAACGAGUGCGCGUCGCCGUAAUAAAGCGACGAGACUAGAAUGUGUCCGCGUUUAGUGGGUCCGUUCUGGUAAGCAGAACUGAUAAUGAGGGAUGAACCUAACGUCGUGUUAAGGGGCCAAAAAGACAGCUAUUUCUCGAAACCAUUGGAAAGGCGUUGCUUGCUGAAGACAGCAGGACGGUGGUCAUGGAAGUUGACACCCGCUAAGGAGUGUGUAACAACUCAUCCUGCCGAAGCGAGUAACCCUGAAAAUGGAUGGCUCUAAAGCUCUCUCCCGAUGCACGACCGUCAGAGGCAACAAGGCUACUUUUAGUCUCGAUGCCCUGACGAGUAGGACGGGGUAUCGGUGCGCGUCGAAGGCCUUAGGGUGACCUGGGCUGGAGCCGCCGGUAAUCCAGAUCUUGGUGGUAGUAGCAAGUACUCUGGUUGAUAACCUUGAGCUAUGAGGUUGAUAAGGGUUCCAUGUCAACAGCGUUUGUACAUGGGUAAGCCGAUCCUAAGCCAACCUAUACCCCGGUAUGGAGCGCGAGCGCAACUUACUAAAAAUACGCGAGUGUGUGUGUGUGUUGUUUGUUUGAGAUAUAUAUAAAAGAGRCGGUACAUGCUUAGCMUAUCAGCGCGGGGCUAAAUUCGAAUCAUAUAUCUCGGCAAAAGCAAAUAAUAUAUACACAUACCCAUCUCUCGGACGUUWCUGAGGACGCGUCACGUAAAUAUAUCUAUACGGAGAGUGUUWGUACCYGAUUGUUCAGCGGUCUUUUUWACUGUGUAGAGCAUAGCCUUGCCGAAAAGAUCUGCGCGCGCAUCAAUAUGUACAACUUUCGAUGUGUAUGAUUAUCGCGAAGUUWUUAUACUAUGAUUGGGAAAWAUYUAGUGUGACUACGMAACUACUACACACGUGUAGAACGAAUACGAGCCMCUUUUUAUAGUACCYUAAAUAUGUAUAUUUUUUUAUAUCUCCUGAUAACCUUACAUCUUUUUCGAUUGUGCGGUGUGUGGUAUGAGAUCGAAAGGUGAUACGUUUUCAUGCACGAAAGUUUUUUUUGUGUAGUACGGGGCAGUAGUUCUCUUUUGUCUAAGAGUGAGUGUUGUUGUGAGUUGUUUUAGCCUGGCGAAAGGGAACUAUGGACUUAGUUCAUGGGCCUCUCUUGGUUCCCUGGUGCGUCGCCGUAUCACGAACUUAGCAACAGCUAUCUAGCUGAGCCAUCGCAGUCUCUUGUCGCGUGAUGGGGAGAUGUCUCCUCUCAUUAAUCGAACCUCUGGAGCCUGUUAAGCGCCUUGAGAGGAGCUAGGCUUUAUGUUCGUGAGAAGAGUAAUUUCUCUCCCCAAUCAUAUCGAUGUCUCAAGAGAUCCGUGAAAAGGUGGCCGCGGGAAUUUCUCUUCGAACUCCUAAACAAGUUCUUAGAGAUUGCCAAGAGUGUACGUACCCGAGUCCGCAUCC